CCCCUACGGGAGGCAGCAGUGGGGAAUAUUGGACAAUGGGGGGAACCCUGAUCCAGCGACGCCGCGUGAGUGAAGAAGUAUUUCGGUAUGUAAAGCUCUAUCAGCAGGGAAGAAAGAAAUGACGGUACCUGACUAAGAAGCCCCGGCUAACUACGUGCCAGCAGCCGCGGUAAUACGUAGGGGGCAAGCGUUAUCCGGAUUUACUGGGUGUAAAGGGAGCGUAGACGGCGAUGCAAGUCUGAAGUGAAAAGCGGGGGCCCAACCCCCGGACGGCUUUGGAGACUGGAU
RNAcentral lists this ribosomal RNA (288 nucleotides) under uncultured bacterium. RNAcentral's name for it is "partial 16S ribosomal RNA". It matches the Rfam family "Bacterial small subunit ribosomal RNA", at positions 336 to 638 of the family's 1533-position model. The record is from RNAcentral.